Pelobates cultripes (western spadefoot toad) is the source of this 1219-nucleotide non-coding RNA. NCBI's taxonomy places the organism in Eukaryota, Metazoa, Chordata, Amphibia, Anura, Pelobatidae. The record is from the annotation of a GenBank genome assembly.
UUGCCAUAACCGGUCUUUAGAAAUGUCUUUGAAAACCAGUUUUACUUGGUUUUAUUUGGGGGUUCCUAACAAUUAUCUGUUAAUAUUUUGUGAUAGCAAGCUUAUUUGUGUGUAUCUUUAAUACCGGUCAUGCAAAUAAUUUUCAGAAGAAGAAGAAAAAAAGACUGCUUUAGCCGUAUUUUGCAUGGAUUGAUUGCACAUCUAUACUGCUACUUAGUUUAACAGAUGUCUAAAAAAAAAAAAGGUUAAACCUGUUAUAACAGGUUUCCCUUUGGCUGUAACAGAUAAAACCUGUUACACUCAUUGAUAUGUUUUUUUUUUUUUUUGUAAGUUGUCCAUCUUUCCUUACUUUUUAGAUACUCUCAAAAAAUGCUAUUUUAUGUUUGUAUUAACAUUUAUUAAUAACCCCCAGCAUGCAACUGCUGUGUGCACAUUCUACCUGACCACAAAUGACAUGAUUGGUGCCACAUACGUUCUAGCAUGUUAUGACAGCAUAGCAGUAGUAAAGCCCAAUAUGUAUAGGUUAAAGAAACACUUCAACCAACAUAAUGCGCCAGUUGUGUCCUGUUGAUCUGUCAGAGUAUGUUGUCAAACAGUUUAGAAAUGGUUUGACAAUUUACACUUGCACUGCUCACAACCUCUAGGAUAGGUAGAAGCUCCUAGCUGAACUAGUAGAACACGUAACAUGUGAAAGUCAUUGUUAAAUCUCAAUAUACAAGUAAAAUAAGGUAAACACAACAGUUAAAAGCAAAACUUGGCUAAAACUGGUGAUGAAAAGAUUCGCAACGCUCCUUAAUUAAAAGUUAUUUGAAGACCAUGUUCCAUGGCUGCUAUUUAUUCCAAAAAUGGUCCCUAUAAAUCAGCUGGUCAAAACUGGCAUGUUGGGGGGGGUUCGGAUGUGGACAUGUCCUAGUACAGCUUCAUAUGGCUCCACAAACAUAGUGAGUCACCCCAAAAUGUCCACAGCCUCUCAAGCUUCAGGAAAAUCUGGUGCUCUCACCAAAUAUUUCCGCAACAAUGUGGACCAGCAAUCGAGCCUGGUAGGUCCCAGUAUGGCACUGGACUCACCAAGCAGCAGCUCGCUGCCUUCUAGUCCAGACACAGAACUGCGAGCCAUACUCCAUAACUUACCCUCAAAGCAGGACAUUGCUAGCAUGCUUGGGCGGUUGGAAUUGUCUAGUACCGCCAUACGCCACAUAGAGAUAGGGCAAGCUCCCUC